This 279-nucleotide unclassified non-coding RNA is filed under the name Hevea brasiliensis (rubber tree). Lineage: Eukaryota; Viridiplantae; Streptophyta; Magnoliopsida; Malpighiales; Euphorbiaceae. The record is from RNAcentral.
AAAAAAAGCCGGAGGUAUCGCAUCCUUGGUGUCCCCUUGUCCGGUGACGCCUGCUGUUUUGCCUACUCCUAUAUUCUCGCCUUCGAGGGAGGUAUUGGGUGACAUGGCAAAGGAAGAAUGGGGUGUUGAUGGAUAUGGGUCCAUGAAGGGUCUGAUAAGACUGAGAUCACCUGGAAAUGAAGCGGAGGUUCAUGAUGAGGAAGAGGAAGAGGAGGGUAAUGGGUCAAGCGAGAGUGAUGUGGAAGAGCACGUGGAGGUGGAAAGGAGAUUGGACCAUGA